Molecule: ribosomal RNA, 586 nt
Filed under: uncultured bacterium
Lineage: Bacteria
Description: partial 16S ribosomal RNA
Rfam family: Bacterial small subunit ribosomal RNA
Source: RNAcentral
UGGGGAAUUUUGGACAAUGGGGGAAACCCUGAUCCAGCCAUCCCGCGUGUGCGAUGAAGGCCUUCGGGUUGUAAAGCACUUUUGGCAGGAAAGAAACGUCGCGGGUUAAUACCCCGCGAAACUGACGGUACCUGCAGAAUAAGCACCGGCUAACUACGUGCCAGCAGCCGCGGUAAUACGUAGGGUGCAAGCGUUAAUCGGAAUCACUGGGCGUAAAGCGUGCGCAGGCGGUUCGGAAAGAAAGAUGUGAAAUCCCAGAGCUUAACUUUGGAACUGCAUUUUUAACUACCGGGCUAGAGUGUGUCAGAGGGAGGUGGAAUUCCGCGUGUAGCAGUGAAAUGCGUAGAUAUGCGGAGGAACACCGAUGGCGAAGGCAGCCUCCUGGGAUAACACUGACGCUCAUGCACGAAAGCGUGGGGAGCAAACAGGAUUAGAUACCCUGGUAGUCCACGCCCUAAACGAUGUCAACUAGCUGUUGGGGCCUUCGGGCCUUGGUAGCGCAGCUAACGCGUGAAGUUGACCGCCUGGGGAGUACGGUCGCAAGAUUAAAACUUAAAUGAAUUGACGGGGGUCAUAGCUGUUUCCU